AAAUUGAAGAGUUUGAUCAUGGCUCAGAUUGAACGCUGGCGGCAGGCUUAACACAUGCAAGUCGAACGGUAACAGGAAUCAGCUUGCUGAUUCGCUGACGAGUGGCGGACGGGUGAGUAAUGUCUGGGAAACUGCCUGAUGGAGGGGGAUAACUACUGGAAACGGUAGCUAAUACCGCAUAAUGUCGCAAGACCAAAGAGGGGGACCUUCGGGCCUCUUGCCAUCGGAUGUGCCCAGAUGGGAUUAGCUAGUAGGUGGGGUAACGGCUCACCUAGGCGACGAUCCCUAGCUGGUCUGAGAGGAUGACCAGCCACACUGGAACUGAGACACGGUCCAGACUCCUACGGGAGGCAGCAGUGGGGAAUAUUGCACAAUGGGCGCAAGCCUGAUGCAGCCAUGCCGCGUGUAUGAAGAAGGCCUUCGGGUUGUAAAGUACUUUCAGCGGGGAGGAAGGGAGUAAAGUUAAUACCUUUGCUCAUUGACGUUACCCGCAGAAGAAGCACCGGCUAACUCCGUGCCAGCAGCCGCGGUAAUACGGAGGGUGCAAGCGUUAAUCGGAAUUACUGGGCGUAAAGCGCACGCAGGCGGUUUGUUAAGUCAGAUGUGAAAUCCCCGGGCUCAACCUGGGAACUGCAUCUGAUACUGGCAAGCUUGAGUCUCGUAGAGGGGGGUAGAAUUCCAGGUGUAGCGGUGAAAUGCGUAGAGAUCUGGAGGAAUACCGGUGGCGAAGGCGGCCCCCUGGACGAAGACUGACGCUCAGGUGCGAAAGCGUGGGGAGCAAACAGGAUUAGAUACCCUGGUAGUCCACGCCGUAAACGAUGUCGACUUGGAGGUUGUGCCCUUGAGGCGUGGCUUCCGGAGCUAACGCGUUAAGUCGACCGCCUGGGGAGUACGGCCGCAAGGUUAAAACUCAAAUGAAUUGACGGGGGCCCGCACAAGCGGUGGAGCAUGUGGUUUAAUUCGAUGCAACGCGAAGAACCUUACCUGGUCUUGACAUCCACGGAAGUUUUCAGAGAUGAGAAUGUGCCUUCGGGAACCGUGAGACAGGUGCUGCAUGGCUGUCGUCAGCUCGUGUUGUGAAAUGUUGGGUUAAGUCCCGCAACGAGCGCAACCCUUAUCCUUUGUUGCCAGCGGUCCGGCCGGGAACUCAAAGGAGACUGCCAGUGAUAAACUGGAGGAAGGUGGGGAUGACGUCAAGUCAUCAUGGCCCUUACGACCAGGGCUACACACGUGCUACAAUGGCGCAUACAAAGAGAAGCGACCUCGCGAGAGCAAGCGGACCUCAUAAAGUGCGUCGUAGUCCGGAUUGGAGUCUGCAACUCGACUCCAUGAAGUCGGAAUCGCUAGUAAUCGUGGAUCAGAAUGCCACGGUGAAUACGUUCCCGGGCCUUGUACACACCGCCCGUCACACCAUGGGAGUGGGUUGCAAAAGAAGUAGGUAGCUUAACCUUCGGGAGGGCGCUUACCACUUUGUGAUUCAUGACUGGGGUGAAGUCGUAACAAGGUAACCGUAGGGGAACCUGCGGUUGGAUCACCUCCUUACCUUAAAGAA
This 1552-nucleotide ribosomal RNA is filed under the name Escherichia fergusonii. Its description in RNAcentral is "bacterial SSU rRNA". It matches the Rfam family "Bacterial small subunit ribosomal RNA". The record is from RNAcentral. Lineage: Bacteria; Pseudomonadati; Pseudomonadota; Gammaproteobacteria; Enterobacterales; Enterobacteriaceae.